This 560-nucleotide ribosomal RNA is filed under the name uncultured bacterium ECS20. RNAcentral describes it as "bacterial SSU rRNA". It matches the Rfam family "Bacterial small subunit ribosomal RNA", at positions 921 to 1482 of the family's 1533-position model. The record is from RNAcentral.
CCCCACAAGCGGUGGAGCAUGUGUUAAUUCGACCCACGCGAAGAACCUUACCAGUCUUGACUCCUGACUAUGGUUGUUAGAAAUAACUUCCUUCAGUCGGCUGGGUCAGUGACAGGUGCUGCAUGGCUGUCGUCAGCUCGUGUCGUGAGAUGUUGGGUUAAGUUCCGCAACGAGCGCAACCCUUAUCUUCAGUUGCCAGCAGGUUAAGCUGGGCACUCUGAAGAGACUGCCGGUGAUAAGCCGGAGGAAGGCGGGGAUGACGUCAAGUCCUCAUGGCCCUUAUGACCUGGGCUACACACGUGCUACAAUGGCGUUGACAAUGAGCAGCGAUAACGCAAGUUUCAGCUAAUCUCAAAAAUACGUCUCAGUUCGGAUAGAACUCUGCAACUCGAGUUCUUGAAGUUGGAAUCGCUAGUAAUCGCAGAAUCAGCAUGCUGCGGUGAAUACGUUCCCGGGCCUUGUACACACCGCCCGUCACACCAUGGAAGUUGGUUUUACCCAAAGACGAUAAGCUAACCGUAAGGAGGCAGUCGGCUACGGUAAGGUCAGCGACUGGGGUG